GUGAUGGCGCGAUCAGCUGCGCCGUCCCGGACGAGAGGGCGCGCCGUACCCGGAACGACGACGGCGCUCG
This 70-nucleotide non-coding RNA is filed under the name Patulibacter medicamentivorans. Lineage: Bacteria; Bacillati; Actinomycetota; Thermoleophilia; Solirubrobacterales; Patulibacteraceae. The record is from RNAcentral.